RNAcentral lists this transfer RNA (78 nucleotides) under Hapterophycus canaliculatus. RNAcentral's name for it is "tRNA-Ile". It matches the Rfam family "tRNA". From Rfam's summary of the family: Transfer RNA (tRNA) molecules are approximately 80 nucleotides in length. Their secondary structure includes four short double-helical elements and three loops (D, anti-codon, and T loops). The record is from RNAcentral. Lineage: Eukaryota; Phaeophyceae; Ectocarpales; Scytosiphonaceae.
UGGGUAUUAGCUCAGUUGGUUAGAGCGACCCCUGAUAAGGGAUGAAGGGCCCUGGUUCAAAUCCAGGAUGGCCCUCCA